RNAcentral lists this ribosomal RNA (405 nucleotides) under uncultured bacterium. RNAcentral's name for it is "partial 16S ribosomal RNA". It matches the Rfam family "Bacterial small subunit ribosomal RNA", at positions 30 to 526 of the family's 1533-position model. The record is from RNAcentral.
AUUGAACGCUGGCGGCAGGCCUAACACAUGCAAGUCGAACGAGUGGCGGACGGGUGAGUAAUGUCUGGGAAACUGCCCGAUGGAGGGGGAUAACUUCUGGACACGGUAGCUAAUACCGCAUUCCCUCGGAUGUGCCCAGAGGGGAUUAGCUAGUAGGUGGGGUAACGGCUCACCUAGGAGACGAUCCCUAGCUGGUCUGAGAGGAUGACCGGCCAAACUGGAACUGAGACACGGUCCAACCGCCUACGGGAGGCAGAAGUGGGGAAUAUUGCACAAGGGGCGCAAGCCUGAGGCAGCCAUGCCGCGUGUAUGAGAAAGGCUUUGGGGUUGUAAAGUACUUUCAGCGAGGAGGCGUUACUCGCAGAGGAGGCACGGGCUAACUCCGUGCCAGCGCCGCGGUAAUUC